GACGAGGUGGCUGAGUGGUGAAGGCGAUGGAUUAGAAAUCCAUUGUGCUCUGCAUGUGCGGGGUUCAAAUCCCACCCUCGUCG
Molecule: non-coding RNA, 83 nt
Organism: Zootoca vivipara (common lizard)
Lineage: Eukaryota; Metazoa; Chordata; Lepidosauria; Squamata; Lacertidae
Source: the annotation of a RefSeq genome assembly